Molecule: long non-coding RNA, 467 nt
Organism: Egretta garzetta (little egret)
Lineage: Eukaryota; Metazoa; Chordata; Aves; Pelecaniformes; Ardeidae
Exons: 3
Source: RefSeq, a predicted model, not a curated record
CGUGCACACGCGUUGCCCCAGCACAGCCCCACACCCCCCUCCCCCGGUGCGGUCGCGGUGCUCGGUGGCAUUGGGUGGGUGUCACUUUCUGGAAGGGUGUGUUUGUCCCCAAGGCGGGCUGGGAGCACGGCAAGACCCCAUCAGGGUGGUGGGCACCCGGCUUGCGUUUGCCGUGCCUCUUCUGGUCCAGGCUGGAUGGACUGACGGACACCGUGCGCUGAUGCGCAACUCCAAGGGCAUCUUUGAGCUUUUGCAGCAACGGCUGGUGGGAGCAGUGAAUUCCUGGAGAGAUGUUUGUUAUUUGGUCCUAGCUGCUUCAAGAGCCCAGUCUUGCGUUGUUCAAGCUACUGAAGGCUGAGGUCUUGGCUCGUGAGCGACUCUUUAGCACUCCCAACUGGAACCUCACACCAAAAGGCACCAUGAUAGUGAUGACCGAUGUCACUGCAGCCCCCAGAUUGGGGUCAACU